Molecule: ribosomal RNA, 233 nt
Filed under: uncultured bacterium
Lineage: Bacteria
Description: partial 16S ribosomal RNA
Rfam family: Bacterial small subunit ribosomal RNA
Source: RNAcentral
CGGGACGGGUGAGUAAUGUAUAGGGAUCUGCCUGAUGGCGGGGGAUAACUACUGGAAACGGUAGCUAAUACCGCAUAAUGUCUACGGACCAAAGCGGGGGACCUCCGGGCCUCGCGCCAUCAGAUGAACCCAUAUGGGAUUAGCUAGUAGGUAAGGUAACGGCUUACCUAGGCGACGAUCCCUAGCUGGUCUGAGAGGAUGAUCAGCCACACUGGGACUGAGACACGGCCCAG